GUAUGCCCAGCAAGAUAUUUUGGUGUCAACUGUUCCCAAAUCUGUGACGAGCGGUGUGUUGAUCAAAUGUGUAACAGCAAAGACGGCAGAUGUGUAGAUUGUCUGCUGGUAAACUUGGGGAUUUCUGUGAGACAGAGUGUGCCGCCACCUACUACGGAGAAAACUGUAAACAAAGAUGCUCCAAAAGUUGUGUUGACCAGUUGUGUCACGUGGAAAAUGGUUCCUGUCUCAGCUGUCCACACGGCUAUACGGGAAUCUUCUGUCAGAUGGGCUUAGAAAAAACAACUGAAAUCCUUUGCACAGACGAAACUUCAGAUUGUCUUUUCCAAGUUCCAGAUCAAGUUUCGGGCAA
This is a long non-coding RNA of Physella acuta, 352 nucleotides long. RefSeq lists it as uncharacterized. The record is from RefSeq and is a predicted model, not a curated record. NCBI's taxonomy places the organism in Eukaryota, Metazoa, Mollusca, Gastropoda, Physidae.